GGCCCCGUAGCUCAGCUGGAUAGAGCAGACGACUUCUAAUCGUCAGGUCGGGGGUUCGAAUCCUCCCGGGGUCACCA
Molecule: transfer RNA, 77 nt
Filed under: Hyphomicrobiaceae bacterium
Lineage: Bacteria; Pseudomonadati; Pseudomonadota; Alphaproteobacteria; Hyphomicrobiales; Hyphomicrobiaceae
Also listed under: 1 other name
Description: tRNA-Arg
Rfam family: tRNA
About the family: Transfer RNA (tRNA) molecules are approximately 80 nucleotides in length. Their secondary structure includes four short double-helical elements and three loops (D, anti-codon, and T loops).
Source: RNAcentral